GGUGAAGUGAUGGAUUGUGAAUCUCCAGCUCAGAGAGAGGGUGAAUGUGAUUCAGUUUUCAGUACCCUGAACCAUCUGAGCUCACCCAAUAAUGGUGAUCACUUCAGCUGAGCAGUUACUAGGCAGCCUCCACCAAGAUGAAUUUGGGACCGUGAGCACUUCCCCGCUCAGCCACGAGAGAGCAGCCGGCAAUUAGGGCUGGAGGGAUGCGAAUCACCCGCAGCGCUCCGGGAAAAAUCCCUGCUCGCACUUCCCUGCUCGCCUUGAGCUCUUCAGACAAAAUUUAAGUCAAGCCGGGGUUAACUAAACCCUCGCUGCUUGUUUUCAGCCGCUGCGAGGUUUGGUGGUGCAGGGAUGGGGUGGAAGCUGUGG
RNAcentral lists this long non-coding RNA (372 nucleotides) under Zonotrichia albicollis (white-throated sparrow). RNAcentral's name for it is "lncRNA (ENSZALG00000005683.1)". Lineage: Eukaryota; Metazoa; Chordata; Aves; Passeriformes; Passerellidae. The record is from RNAcentral.